Non-coding RNA from Macaca mulatta (Rhesus monkey), 8963 nucleotides. Lineage: Eukaryota; Metazoa; Chordata; Mammalia; Primates; Cercopithecidae. The record is from RefSeq and is a predicted model, not a curated record.
UGCGAUAUCAAAUGUACUUUUUUUGGGGAAAAUUGGGCAGUGAGACUGCUUCAUCGCAACCAGUGUGAGUUUAGAGGGUGCAUGUUCACUUUUGUAGAAGUUCAAAAUGUACUGACGAUUGUUUGCUUAUUUUUUGUUUGUUUGUUUAAAUCUUAAAGGAAUACUGUCGUCUGCAUUUUUACAAUUUUGUUUUCUUCUAUUGAACCGAUUACAGUGGAUAUAGAGUUUUAUUAUAUAGCGAAAUCUUUGUAAACUGCCACAGAAAGAAAGUGUUAUUUAGAAGGGAAAUUGACAAGUUUUAAAGAGUAAUUGUACAAUCAUUUGAGGACAGAGGAACACUGCAUUAUACUAAUAAGGGUUUAAUUACCAAAAAAAGUUUAAUGUUGCUUUGGAAGGAAUAUUAAGUAAGUUGUCUUUGUCUCUUACUUUUUAAUUUUAGUCGCUGAUUUAGCCUGUUGGGUCACAUUUUUUGUUAGUGCUGAAGGCUGCCAUGAAUCCAUAAUGAGGCCCCUUUGCACAUGAUUUUGGCACCUGGCCAAAAUCAACUUCCCAGCGGCAAGCUUUCUCUAAAGAACCUGGAGCAAUUUCUUUCUUUCUUUCUUUUUUUUUUUUGAUCUGGAAUCAUGUCUGAAAGCUGCCACAACCAGUUGUAUAGGCAUGUCAAAAUGACUUUAUACAGUCAAUAUGAAACAAGCAUUAAAUAUUUUUUUCUCAUAUUGGUGCUUUUAUCAUUAUGAAUUCCUUGCUUGUUGCCACCUAAGAUACGAUGGAACAAGCACAGUCUUAAAGAAGAUUUACUGAUUUUUUGUUUUUCUCAGCAGACCAGAGUAGGAUAUCCAUAAAAAUUCAUCAGACAGUGUUUUACUACUGAGCUACAAAGGGAAAAACUUAAAAUGGAUAUGAAAAGUGAAGAAAGUGAUCAUAGGAGAAAACCAUUUCAGAUGACAAGAGCACCUCAAAGGCAGCAGCCUCUAGGAGCAGCCAUGGUCCCAGAGUUGUCCCACGGAUGCAGAAAACGUAAUGGAGGAGUCUGAGUGUGCAAUGCAUCCCUAACAGAAUUCCAGAGAGCAAUGAUGUGCCAGGCUCUGUGUAUGGGACAGGGACACAGUGGUGAACCAACACAAAGAAUGGGAUACCUGCCUGGCACUUACCAAGCUACACUUGAAGAGGAUCAGUCCAUAUCAUCAUGUCCCCAAUUUCACAGCACCAAGUAUUUUAUUUGUUCAUAAAUGCCCUAUUGUGGACAUCUAGCAAAAAACAAUACAUCAAAAAUGAGAUAUGCAUAAAUUUUCAUGGAAUAAGGUAUAAAGCCCAACUCUCAAUACAUACUGAACAUAACAGGAGUCUAGGAAAUAUUCUAAAACAAAUGGGAAUGCAGAAUGUGCCACAGAAAAUAAGACACAUCAAUGAGGGUAGGUUUGAAAUACCAAUUUAAGGCAGACUUUUACCCUUUGGCCAGGCUGUAACAUUAAAAUUCCAUAGUUAAGAACUUACUAUAUAUUCAGGCGUUUUAAGAACUCUGCAUAUAUAAUUACAUUUGACCCUUCUAAUGCCUUUAUCAGAUAGGUUCUAUUAUUGCUGUUUUUUAAAUAAAGAAGAUAAACUUUGAAGAGAUUAAUAAAUUAAUAAAUUGGUCCUCCAUGGCACAGAUUAAUAAAUAGCAGAACCUUGAUUCAAAUUCUAAUUUUGUCCUCGAUAUUAACUUCCUAAUCCUAACGUUAUAAUGUUGUUUCAUGUUGUUAUGUGUUACUUUUAUGGAUUACAAAAGGUUAAAAACCCAUUUAUAUCAGUUUAAGAAAAAGCAGAAAUCAUAGGAAGGUACUUCCCCCUUUCUAUGAGGGGUUUCAUAGAAACCAAGUACAGGAAUGCAGCUGGGCCUCAGGAAUAGCAGAAACCAGGGAAUAAAGACUGACCAAACUUUGUUUCCACCUCUGCCCCAGCCACCUCACCACCUUCCACCACACUCCACCAAUUCCCUCCACCCCCGCUCUACCCCCACCCCACCCCCGCCCCGCAUUGUCUUACUCACUUAGUCCACUUAGUGGAAACCAUAGUUACUGUGAGCUUUCUAUCUUUUAGUCCAAAUAUUCAAUGCCCAAAAAGAGAUGCUUGACUGCUUGACUUUUUUUUUUUCUAAUCACAAACAACACUAAUUGUGGGGAUGGAACACUUUGGCUAGGUUUAGGUCAUUGUGCAUUCUAAAACUAUUAUCUAUUCAUUUUCUUAAAUCAAGAAUAUUUUGAAAAUGUUUUAUAUGUCUGACACUGUCUGUAGUACUGUGAAUCCAGCAGUGAACCAGACAAACAAGAUCUUAUAUUCUAUAGAGAGAGACAGGGAAUAAGUAAGUUAAAAUAUAUAAUAAAUAUCCAAGAGGCAAAUACAUAUAUAAGAGAAAUACAUAAGCUAAUUUCAAAUAGUACUAUGUUAAAACAAGGUAAUAUAAAGCAAAUGAUUGAUGGGGUGGAGGAGUGGAGGUCAAUAUUAGAUAUAUAAGAGAAUAGUUAUCUGAGAUAACAUCUAAAUAGAGACCCAGAUGACAGGAAAAAAACAGCCGUCAAAAAAUCAGGAAAAUGAUGGCAGGCAGAGAGGAUGAAGGGUACAAACGCAAUGAGCUGAGAAUAUUAGGCAGCCAGGAUGGCUAGAACCUAGUAAGCAAAUGGGAAAAAUGUAGGAAAUAAGUUAGAGGCAGGGAGGCAGAUAGGGACUAAAGUUAUGUAUAGGAGGCUCUGCAAGGCAUUUGAAUGUUAUUCAUGUGGAAAAAGUUAUAGCCAAAGGGAGGAUGCUAUGAUUUUCUCAAGUUGGGUUAGGUACCCUUUGGGUUAUGUUUUAAUUUGACAGCUUUUGUUGCAGCCAGAAGAUUGUAGAAUGAAGUGGAGUGUUUCCCAUGAGAGCUGUGGUUCUGGGCAGAUAAAGCAAUGCACAGUUCUAUUCUCUUCACAAUUCUGUUCAGGUACUUCUGCUAUAAAUCCCCUUAACAGUCAGUCCCCCCACUGUCAAUCACAGUAGCCACUGCUCUUCCAAAACCAGCUUUAUCUAGGUUUAUUUUCUACCAGUUUUCCACAUUUUAAAUUUUCUUAUCUUUUAUACAAUUUUAAGGCUGUUUAAAAGGGCUAGCUCAAUUGAAAUAUGAAUAACUUUCCAGCGUUGGAAAGUGAUCUUUGUUAUGCUGAAUUCAUUGAUUGAUUACCUGAUAGUAACACUUAUUUGAAUUACUGUCUCUUGCCUCUAGGCAUUGGCUUCCAGGUAGAUUUCACUGGGCUUUGUAUUUUAAAGUUUCCUAUCUUCCAAGCUCUGUUAUUUGCCAUGCUUAUUUUCAGCUUUCUUAGGAAAAAAAUGAUUGGAUCCUGGGGGCAUUUGCUAGAUAUCUGGCAAGGAGCAUCACACAGGUAUAAAAGCAAGUCAACCUAACUGAGGAAAAUGGAGUAAAAUGGAAAAGGAUGCCAGUAGAAAGGAGAGAAUCUGGGAAGGGGAAAAAAAAAAGGGAAACUAUUAUAGACAGUCAGGUAGUAGUCAUAUCAAAAAACAAAGGAGUGCCCCCAAAGAGUUAUGAAUUGCUGCAGGAGAAUUAAUGAGAUGGAAAAUUUCUCAAGGAAAAAGAGCCAAGUAUAUAUAAAGGGGAGAAAAGCAUAAAAGGAAGAAAAAAAAAAUAAGGGAAAAGAAAAAAUUUUUAAAAACCCCAAGUGCAAAGUGAAAGAGUAAAACAAAAGAAAGGAUAAAUGAGGAAAUGGUGCCUUGCAUUAAAGCAAAUGUAUUCUGUUUUCUUUAUUCUUAUCUUUAACUGGCUUUGCAUUUCUCGGGUAGCAAAGCCAAACUGAAAGGAUAAUUUUGUUUAUGUACCCAAUUUGCAUAAUUGUGCAAUAUAAAUUACAAUGCUAAUUAAGGACAGCCCUUGGGCUUCUGGAAUUGGGUCAAAGUGGCUCCCCAAGUGCAGGGAGGUUGGGGCAUUGGCUCUGUCCCCUCUCCCACUGCAGGGAAGCUGGGCAACAAAAAAGAACCUCUCUGACAGUGUGUGAAAUCUUGUCAGAAUUUGUUGAAGACCCAGAACUGUAUGUCUCAUUCCCAGACUUGGCUUUUAAAAUCAUUUUUGUGUGAUUCCGCAAUGAGGCUCUUGAAAGCUAAAAUUUCUUCUAAAUGUGGUGUUGGUUAUCAUUUUAUGAGUCCCCUCCCAUUUUUUUUUUUUUUAAUUCAGAGAAUUUUGGUUGAAACAUUGUAGAUAACUGCACAUGAACCUGGCAUGCAAUAUUUUCUCACUGGACUCUUGCCAGAAUUGUCUCAAACCAGUGGAUGAUAUACUCUGCUCAGGCUUUUAUGGAGCCAGGGGAAGAUGACAAGCUGAUUUCUGAGCUUGAGUUAAAUCCAUGUCCUUAAAACUAACUAAACAAUUGUACCAUAACUACAUCAAAUUCAGUCCCAGAGCAUUUAUUCCCUGCACUGUUCAUAAUAGAGAAUUGAGAGGUAUAGAGUUCUUAUCAUUUUUAGCUUGGGGUUUUCAAGGAAAGAAUUACUUCUGAGUUACUGUUGUGAAGGCUGGCAUAACUAUUUUGGAGGAACCUCUGUUUAGGUCUGUUUUGAAGGUGGUGUUUGGCAAGCCUUUGGUAGCCAUUGAAACUUGACCUCAAGCAAGUUGUAUGCAAAGUAGAAACAAGCAGCUCUCAAUCACUCAAGUACCUGAGGCACUAGUGAGGGAGACCGAUUAUCCUUUCUCCGUCAUCUCUAUUCACUUUCCUUUUUCUCCUUCUCCUUUUGAGAAAGUGUAAGCCACUUUUAUAAGAGAUUUAUGAUCUACCUUACUUGGGUAACAGCAUAACAGUUAAGGCUGCUAGUUGUAUACACAUGAUUUUGACUUUGAAAUACCAAGAAGCUCUUUCCACUGGGAUAAUUAUAGGAGUAAUUGGAAAAUACGUGACCUGUGUUACUUUGUUUGCUAGAGCAAUGUUUUCCAAACUCUUUCAUGUCCAGACAUAUGAAAAAACAAAAAGAUAACUAUGUGAUCCUGGGGUGCUAUAGUCCGAAUAUUUUUGUACCCCCUUGGAGGUAAAGAUAACCCCCAAGGUAAUGGGAUGAGAAGGUGGGGCCUUUGGAAGGCAGUUGAAUCAUAUUGGUGGAGUGCUCGUCAAUGGAGUAAGUGCCCUUAUAAAGGUGGCCUAAAAGAGGCUCCUUGCUCCUUCUGCCGUAUGAUAUUUCAGUGAGAAGACAGCUAUUUCUAAAGAAGCGGGCCCUCAGGAAACUUGGAACCUAUCGUCCCUUGAUCUUGGACUUUCCAACCUCCAGAACUAGGAGGAAAAUAUUGUGUUGUUUUUAAGCCACCCAGUCUAUGGUAUAGCAAUCUGAACAGACUAAGACAUAGGGUAAACUAGAGGAGAAUUGGGACUGUGGGCAGGGCCGAUCAGGUUCCAAGGUGACUGGAUCUUUGGCUCUGACCAACUCAACCUUCCAAUUUCCUGAAACUAAGGGGUUGGUAUCUCGUGGCAUGUCAGUAUAUCUCGAGCAAGGUCCCACACCGUAAUCCAUGCAGCAACAAUGUUCAAGUGAUCAUUCGUAAGGAGUCCAUGGUCAAACCAGCAUGGCGUAAGUUGGGUUAAACACACAGACUUAAACAUGUUUAUCGCAAGGAUUGUGACAUUAGCAACCCUUAUUUUUACCACUUAUUCUCUUUUUCCCUGUGGAACCCACCUCUCUGUGCUCUCGCUUUUCUCCACGUGGUUUGGGUGGAACUAGCCUACCCUUGGCUGUAAAGGAGGGCGCUUGACCUGUUCCAGUCAGUGAGAGUAGCGUAUGCCCCAGGCCAUAGGGAUUGGUUCAGGCUGACAGGAGACUAGAGCAUGGCAAAUCAGAGUCAGACUCAGGAACACUAGACAAAUUUGGGAAAUUCUUCGUAGUAUUUUUUGAGCAGGUAGAUAAAACUACGAAUGAAUUUUCUAAGUUACUACUGGUAUCCAAGAUAAUAUACUUCUCAUUUUGCUGAAGCUAGUCUGAAUUGGGUAUUAUUUUCAACUGGAGAAGACUUGAUAUUUAUUUUUAUUUCCUAAGAUUCAGGUCUAAUAGAUCAUGUUCCUGCUUAAAAGUCUCCAGGACUCACCAUUGCAUAUGGGAUAAAGUCUGAGUAAUUGUAACUGAUCUAUAUGUUUUACCUAUAAUUGCAGUAAAUGUGGGGGCGGGUUCUCUCUCACUAGUUUAUUGAUGAGAGUGUUAGCUAAGAGUAAACAGGGUGGUGAGAGUCUGUAGUCUAGUUAAGUAUCCUUUUAAUAUGUUGGUUGAGGGGUUCUCAACAAACAGAUUGCUUUUUGCUCCUAGAGUUGGUCAUGCCUUUGGGUAGAUUUUUUUUUUCUUUUUUUCUGCAAUUGUUCAGGUGGAUUUAGUAACUCCAGCCUUUCUUUCUGGCCUAUACUUUGGUACUAAUUAUAAAGGCAUAAUCUUGACAAUGUAGACAUUUUAGAGAAUACUCCUUCUGAUGGUUGUAUAUGUAUUGAGAACAAUUACUCUAAAGCAGUGAUUCUUAAAGUGUCGUCCCUGUACCAGCAGUAUUGCCACCUGGGAAAUUGUUAGCGAUGUAAAGUCUUGGGCCAAACCUCAGAUCCAUUGAAUCAGAAAAUCUGGGGAUGAUGGCCAGCAAUUUGUAUUUUAACAAGGUGAUUCUCUUGCAUGACAGUUUUCAAAUGGUUGACAAGAAAGGUCAAAGCCUGGAGAAUAUCUUGGUUGAGGACUUCCUAAAAUCUUCUAUCUCAUUACCCCAGUAUACUUUCCUCAUACCUUUUUAAUUGCUAUUUCACUAGAGUUUUUACUUCUCUCAGGAACUCAUUUAACUGGGUUUUUAGUUUUGCAAUUUUAUGCCCCCUCUGCGUGGAUGUCUAUUGUCAGGUUCUCACUUUUCUUGAUUAUUUUCCUGGAAAAUUAAAAGAUCAAGUCAACUGGAUUUUUAUUAGUUCAACUUCCAUUAUAUCUUCUUCAGGGUGGAGUUUAAAAUUAUCAUAUAUACUUGCUCCCCCCCCCAACUCCUUAGAUUUACCAUCUUGUUGAUUUCAGACUAGUAUUUAAAUCAUAUUUCCUAGAUAGGCAACUGAUGCCAUUGUGAGAUACAAAAUAGUUCAUAUAACAUAGCAAGGGGAUAUCAUUCUAGAAUUAAACUCAUGUUAUAGAAAUUUCAUCACGAAGGUAAAACACAUUUGUACAAAUUGAAUUUUGACUGUAUUUGCAUCCCAAGCAGUAGACCAAGACAGACACUGUUUAAUCGUUUAGAGCAUCAGCUAUGAAGUCAGACUUCCUGAGUUCAGAUCUAACCCACCACUUGCUGAUUAUGUGGCCUUGGGCAAACCCUCUGUACCUCAGUUUCUUUUUCUGCCUGAAUAAGGAAAAUGCUCAGUAAAUUUUAGUUAAUGUUAUAGCUUUUGAGGCAACAUUCUGAGAAAGGUGCCUUCACGUAAUAGCCAGGCAAGGUUUGUCUAAACUAAAAUCGUGUCUGUAUAAACACACAUAAAGGCUCGUAUUUUGAAGACAAAGAUAAUUGGUUGAGAAUGAUUAAACCUAUACUGGUAAAUGAAAAUAACAAACAGUUCUUAUAAAACUUGCAGUAUGUACUCAAACUUAACAUAACUUUAAUUGAUGUGCUAUCAGAUUUAGUUUAGUUCACAUUAACCCAAGCCCAGAAACUUGCACCAAUUUUAGCUAAGAUAAUAGUCUCUGUUAUUUCUAAUCUACUCUCUUUUUAUUUGACUAGAAGUUCUUAUUUUCCUUUUCUGAGGGCCUAAUUCUCUUCUAACUCCACUUACUCAGAUGUUAUCAUCAUGUUUAUAAAUGGAUCAGUCUCAGGUGUUGUUACUUUCAUGCCUGUGAGCACAUAUUAUUGUUUGAAAAAAAGUGUUCUAAAGUUUUUAAAUAGCUAAAAAUUUAUGUAAAAAUUCUUGCUAUACCGCAGCCCAGAAGAGCUAUGGCUUUUCUCCACUAUGGCUAUGAUGCCUGCCAGGAAUUGUUAGUUGUCCCAGUAAUGUCCCUAAUACCUGUAUGAAUAAUCUUUGGGUGACUGGGCAUAGAAUUUUACACUCUACAGCAUACUGGCUAUAUUUGCUUCUUCACAGUUACACCCAUCAUAUACUGUCUGGUCUUAAAAAUUCACUUGCAUAUUACAUAUAUACCUGCAUUUGCUUAUUUAAAAACUAUUAAAUGUCAGAUACUGUUCUAGGCUUAAGGGUUAAGCAAGCUAGGCUUAAGUAAACUUAACGGUUUACUUAAGUCCCUGCCAUUAUGAUGCUUAUAUUAACAAUGAAAUAAACUGUAAUCAUUCUAGAAGGCAGAAACAGAAAGUUUUCUUUUCGCCUUUUUCUUAGCAGAGCGCUGGAAACAUAAGUAGGUGCUUAAUAGAGACUCCUGGAUUAUUGAAAUUUAUACUAUACUUAAACAUUAGGAACUCCUGAGGAGCCUGGCUGAAGAAGGAAGCUCAGCAAAUGCAGGCUUAUGAAGUGGAAGAUUAUUUGAGCAGCAAAUCACUUUAGAGAAUACCGAGUAGAACUUUCUUAGGUGAAAUAACAGAAAAUACCUGUUGUUUUAGUAAGGGAGGAGACCACCCCUCAUAUUGUCUUAUGCUGAAUUUCUGCCUCCAAAGAAAACACAAGUAAAAACUAAAAGACAGAAAUGAAAUCCACAGGCAGGCAGCCCAGCACCACACCCUGGGCCUGGUAGUUAAAGAUCAACCCCUGACCUAAUUGGUUCUGUUAUCUAUAAAUUACAGACGUUGUAUAGAAAAGCACUGUGAAAAUCCCUGUCCUGCUCUGUUCCAUUCUAAUUACCGGUGCAAGCAGCCCCCAGUCACGUACCCCCUGCUUGCUCAAUUGAUCAUGACCCUCUCACGUGGACCCCCUUAGAGUUGUGAGCCCUUAAAAGGGACAGGAACUGCUCACUCAGGGAACUCAGUUGUUGGAGACAUGAGUCUUGCCGAAGCUCCCGGCCGAAUAAAGUCCUUCCUUCUUUAA